RNAcentral lists this long non-coding RNA (1707 nucleotides) under Marmota monax (woodchuck). Lineage: Eukaryota; Metazoa; Chordata; Mammalia; Rodentia; Sciuridae. The record is from RNAcentral.
UGAUGUCUGACAAUCUUCAGUGGAAUUUAGUAGAAAUUUGGUUGUCAGAAGAUGUAGAAUUCAAUCCCAACACUGUCACUACCUAACCUUGUACAAUUCACUAAUAUCUCUAAGCUUGUUUGAUCAUCAACCAAAUGAAUAGCAAACAGCUUUGCCAAGCUCAUAGAACUGUUGAGAUCAAAUGAGAUACUUGACAAAGUAAGCUUUGAACUUUGUAUAGUUUUAGCAAGUAUUCUUUAUGUACCAGAAAUGAACACUAGUAAUAAAAAGGUAGAGGCAAUUACACCUGCAAGAAAGCAAACAUGUAAAGCAAACAGUACAAAGGAGCAAUUGCUGUUAUGAAGAAUGUAUAAAACAUGCUGGUAUAUUACAACAGAAAGAAGGUGCCUUUUAUUAUAGAGUUUGAAGUUUAUAAAAUAGGAAGUUAUCAAAAGAAGGCUUAUGUAGGGAAGUGUUAUUUGAAUCGGGCCUUGAUAAGUUGUGUUUAUGUUCAGUCAUCUGGAAAAGUAUUUCAGGCCUGGCCUAAGCAAAGGCAUAGUAUUAUAAAAGUACAUGUUUAGAGAAAGCCAAGAAAUGAAAUGUAGUUAGGGAACUAACUAGAAAGGUAGGUUGGGCAGGUUAUGUGAGUGUAUUAAUAUAAGAAAGUGUUCAGUCCUUAAAACAUAAGAAAAAUAAAGCAUAUGCCUUACUAGUAGGGUGACCGUUUGCCCAGGACUGAGGAAUGUCCUGGGAUUUUGGGUUUUUGUUUUUCAAAACUGGAAGAUCCCAGGAAACAUGGUAUGAAUUGGACAGCAUUUACCAUAAAAAUAAUUCACAGAAAUUUGAGCACAAAAUUCCACAGUAUCUUUGAAAAUAUCAGUUAUAAUCCAUUUGGUUGAAUUCUGUGAAAAGCCUCAUUCAGUAUCUUAGAUUUUCUAAUGUAUUUCCUUCAGGUUUUGGCAUGUAUACCCAGGUUCAUCUUCAUGUCUGCCUAAAUAGAUCUAUAAACACCAGAAUUUGAGGCUAUGAAAUAGAGGUUAUAGGAUGCACAAAGUUUUUUUUUAAAUAUUUAUUUUUUAGUUGUAGUUGAACUCAAUAUCUUUAUUUAUUUUUUAUGUGGUGCUGAGGAGCAAUCCCAGGGCCUCACAUGUGCUAGGUGAGUGCCCUACCGCUGAGCCACAACCCCAGCCCAUAGGAUGCACAAAGUUUUAAGAUCUUUGUAAGUGGACCAGUUACUGUCUUUAUCCCCUAAAAAGUUUAGACCAGUUCUUUAUAAUCCUGCCUGUUUUUAAAAUGAAAUAUGAAACUAUAUUAACUCUUCAUAUUUUAAGCCUAAAAUGUACUAAAAUAGAUACCUCUUGUGAUAAAUAUUACAUAGCAAUAAAGCAUUUGUUUUUUGUGAUCUGAGAGGGCAUACAACAGUGAUAUAGAAAUAUUCUGUAUAGUUACUGAGCACUUAAAAUGUAGCUAGUGUGAGUAAGGAGCUGAAUUAUUAACUUUGAUAAAUUUACAUUAGCAUGUUUAAAUAACCACAUAUGGCUAGUGGCUACCAUGUUACAGUUAGCACAGUUACAUAAGAAGCUCUUCAUACACUUUUAGUUGGCCUAGAAAUAGUUAAAAUAUUUUGUGAGCUUUUUUCAAUCAAAAUUGCUAUUGGCUCCAAAUUAGAGUACAGGUAUUCUUAUCACCACAGUUUAUAAAACUAAAUAAAUAAAUGUUUACGCUGCU